This 72-nucleotide transfer RNA is filed under the name Sphaerodactylus townsendi. Its description in RNAcentral is "tRNA-Thr". It matches the Rfam family "tRNA". From Rfam's summary of the family: Transfer RNA (tRNA) molecules are approximately 80 nucleotides in length. Their secondary structure includes four short double-helical elements and three loops (D, anti-codon, and T loops). The record is from RNAcentral. Lineage: Eukaryota; Metazoa; Chordata; Lepidosauria; Squamata; Sphaerodactylidae.
GGGGCUGUGGCUCUGGGGCAGAGCAUCUGCUUAGUAUGCGGAAAGUCCUGGGUUCAAUCCCUCGUGUCUCCA